UACAGAGGGUGCAAGCGUUAAUCGGAAUUACUGGGCGUAAAGCGCAUGCAGGCGGUUGGUUAAGUCAGAUGUGAAAGCCCCGGGCUCAACCUGGGAAUUGCAUUUGAAACUGGCCAACUAGAGUACGUGAGAGGGGGGUAGAAUUCCAAGUGUAGCGGUGAAAUGCGUAGAGAUUUGGAGGAAUACCAGUGGCGAAGGCGGCCCCCUGGCACGAUACUGACGCUCAGGUGCGAAAGCGUGGGGAGCAAACAGG
Molecule: ribosomal RNA, 253 nt
Filed under: uncultured bacterium
Lineage: Bacteria
Description: partial 16S ribosomal RNA
Rfam family: Bacterial small subunit ribosomal RNA
Source: RNAcentral